GUUGGGAGUUAUAUAAUUGUCGCUGCUAACGACGGUUGGAAUAUUUAUUUUGUUCAGCU
Molecule: transfer RNA, 59 nt
Filed under: Echinostoma paraensei
Lineage: Eukaryota; Metazoa; Platyhelminthes; Trematoda; Plagiorchiida; Echinostomatidae
Description: tRNA-Ser
Source: RNAcentral